GUUGUAUAUAAAAGGAGAGAAGGUUAGCACUCCCCUUGACAAAGAUGAAAGAGGCCACUGGGCCAAACAAUAUGGAUAUGAUUAAGGCAUCUAACCAUUGUUUUGGAAUCACCCAAUAAU
This is a small nuclear RNA of Meriones unguiculatus (Mongolian gerbil), 120 nucleotides long. NCBI's taxonomy places the organism in Eukaryota, Metazoa, Chordata, Mammalia, Rodentia, Muridae. The record is from Ensembl.